UUCUGAGUGCUUUCCUUGCACGCGGGU
Molecule: non-coding RNA, 27 nt
Filed under: Mus musculus (house mouse)
Lineage: Eukaryota; Metazoa; Chordata; Mammalia; Rodentia; Muridae
Source: RNAcentral